CCUACGGGAGGCAGCAGUGAGGAAUAUUGGGCAAUGGGCGGGAGCCUGAACCAGCCAAGCCGCGUGAAGGAAGAAGGCGCCAAGCGUCGUAAACUUCUUUUGUCGGGGAACAAAGGGCGCCACGUGUGGCGUUGUGAGUGUACCCGAAGAAAAAGCAUCGGCUAACUCGGUGCCAGCAGCCGCGGUAAUACGGAGGGUGGGAGGGUUAUCCGGAUUUAUUGGGUUUAAAGGGUGCGUAGGCGGUCCGGAAAGUCAGCGGUAAAAGCCCGGGGCUAAACCCCGGCGAGCCGUUGAAACUGGCGGACUAGAGACGGCGAGAAGUACGCGGAAUGCGCGGUGUAGCGGUGAAAUGCAUAGAGAUCGCGCAGAACUCCGAUGGCGAAGGCAGCGGACCGGCGCCGGACUGACGCUGAGGCACGAAAGCGUGGGUAUCGAACAGGAUUAGAUACCCGGGUAGUC
This 459-nucleotide ribosomal RNA is filed under the name uncultured bacterium. RNAcentral describes it as "partial 16S ribosomal RNA". It matches the Rfam family "Bacterial small subunit ribosomal RNA", at positions 338 to 795 of the family's 1533-position model. The record is from RNAcentral.